ACUCACACGGAAAAAAUCUGAGGGAAUUUUCAAUCUCUUCUUCUCCCUUUCUCCCUCUGUCCGCCUGUGGAGAACACUGGCAGGAAUCAGGGAGAAGAGCAGGGUUGCUAGGCGACAGGUUGUGGUUGCCAUGGUGAAUUUAAGUGGAACAGCUGGUCCAAUCAGCAUAAAGUGCGGGCCGGGCGGGGGCAGAGCCAGGGAGGCUCAUGCCAACACAGACAGACAGGAAGUAGAGGCUGCUGAGGCAUGCAGGAUAGAGAGGAGGGAAGGAGAGGAGAGGAGAUGUGAUGGGAGAAAAGAGGAGAGGAAGAGAGAGAAAGGGGGAGAAACGAGGAGAGGAGGAGAGGGGAGGAGCUAAGGAAACAGGAGAGGAGGAGAGGAGAAGUAAAAGAUGAGAGAAUAAGAGAGAGAGAAAGAGAGGGGGUACAGGAGGGGAGAGGAGAGGUGAGAAGAGGACAGGGGAGGAGAGGAGAGAUGAGGAAAGGAAAGGAGGAGACAGUAGAGGAGAGGACAGUGGAGUACAGUAGAGGAAAGACAAAACAAGGAAAGUAGAACAGCAGAGGAUAUGGGAGAGAAAAGGGGAGAAAAAGGGGUGAGGAAAAACAAGGGAAGGAAAGGUAGAUGAGAAGAAUAUAGGGGAGCAAGGAAGAUAGGAAAGAGGAGAGAAAGGAGGAGAUAAAAGAGAGGAGGAAAUGAAGGAGAUGCAAUCAGGAGAGAAGAGGAAGGAAUGAAACGAGAGGACGAGAAGAGGAAAAAAGUAGGCUAAUAAGUGAGACAGACAAAUUGAUAAGAUGACUUAAAAAGGGAGACGAGGAAAGAGAAAGGCUUAAAAAAAGAGAGCUGGUCAAAGGUUUUAUUGGCAGCAGAAACAGGAUAAAAGAAGAAAAUACGGCAUUGUCCCAAUCCCUUUUAUUUGUUUAUGCAGAAGUCGUUUCUCCCUUCAUCAAACCGACCUGAUUAAAUACCUCUUACAAAGCCUCUUUUCACCUAUAGCUGCCGUCAAACCCCGACAGGGAAAAAAUUAAAAGGCACAACACAGACUGGAUCACAAGAAAAUAAGGCAGACACCAUGACAGUUCGACGCAGCUAAUGACAGCGUGGUGAUAACAUGGUGAUAAUGAUAAUGGGCUGGGAAAGUGUGUGGGCGUCAAGAUUGGGAGGAUUUCACAGUCACAUCAUCAGUUGUGUGUAAUGGGGCGGUUUUAAACAAAAAUCUCAGAUGUGGUCGUGUUUAGUGUUAAAGUUUGCAGCCAAGUGAAAUCAACAGCUGUGAGAGAUGUUGGGGUGACAGUGGGACAAAGGUUGGAUUUUAAUGAUGCAAUCAACUGAGGACAACAGGGUGGUGUUAAAAUCAGAGGUGAGAACGACCCCGUCCCCUCUUAAGUGUUUUUAUCCCAAUUAAAGUCAUUGUAUAAUGGGUGAUAUAUUGGUUUAUUACCUUGCUUAGCUAAAUACUUGUCUCUGAUUGGUCAAACCUUGUCACAAAAUUCAUUAUUUCUAAACAGUUAAAGCAACACAAGAGACAACAUGUUCACACACAUCAUAUCAAAUCAAUCAGCAUACAGGAGUCUGGCACAAUUCGCCUCUGUUGACACAAGCUGCAUUUACAUGGGCACAAAUAAUCAGAAUAAAUGCCCGAUCAGAAUAAAAAUGCAUCAUGUAAACGAGUCGAUCGGAAGAUUCUGAUCCAAUUCGGCUCAAUCUGAAAAAAUUGUAUCGAGAGGGGUGGUUUAUGCCAAUUGUUAUUCUGAAUCGCGUACAUGUGAACAUUUAUUCCGAUCGUAACUCUGACCGUAACUCUGACCGGACUCGAUCGUCAUUCUUUAGCAUAAGACACAACCGCAGCUGCCAUGUCUGCUCCUCCGAUAAGCAACAUAUAUAUUAUUUCGAAGGAUGGUAGGGGAAAGUCCCGCCUCCUUCGCCUCUGAUUGGCUAGAAAAGCUGGAAAUGUCAUCACAAGCUCAAGCCAAACUCGGGCUGUUGGCUCUGUACAUCGAACAGAACAUUACAGAAAAUUAUUGUGCUUCUGAAUCUCCUAACCGUUACUCUAAUCCUAAUCCCAACCCUAAUUUACCCUAACCCUAGCACUAACCUGACAGACGAUGACGUUUCACAGCCAUAAGGAAUGACCAAUCGGAGCCCAUCACUUCUAGCCAAUCAGAGGCAAAGGAGGACAGGACUGUCCCCUACUAUCCAACAAAAAAAAAAAAUCGCCUUCAGCAACAUAACAAGGCGUACAUCGUAAUGAUGUCACAUCUGCACGUACAGUGCAACCUUUGACAGAACAGUAAGAUAAGUACGCAAGGGCGCCAUCUAGUGACAACAUUUAAGAGGGGGAAAACUCCUAUAUUGGAUGGAGCAAGCCACUUACGAGUUUGUUAGUUUGGCGGUAGCACAGGUGUGAAUACAACUCUUCUUCUGCAGUUAUUUAAGCAAAAUCAGACAACUUUGCGAAUGUCCAAAUGCUUUUAAUCUGAAUAAAGCUUGGCGCAUGUAUAUGCACAUCAUGAUCGGAUUAUUUGACUUUGCACCCAUAUUAACAGUGGAUUCAGAUUAUCCGAUCACUCACCUUUUUAAUCGGAUCAAGAAAUUUUGCCCAUGCUACUGAGGCAGAAACAUUUCCUUCAGUUCUGCUUUGGGAAACGUUCUGGCAAAAGUUUAAGUUUCCUUCUCUGGCCGGUCUUGACAGCCUGAAAACCAAGACCAAGUUUCCAGCUUCAGAUGUAAGAGAGACCCGAGGAGCUUCUGGGCCCAAACCAUCCCUGCUGAUAAGGGGAAGGGGAGUAAGUCUGUCCUGCAGAAAUAGAGAGCACAUUUCUGAGUUGCCUAUAACCACAAAGUAACUUUCACUGCGAGCAGCAUGAUAGUAGCAACAGUGUUGAAAAAUGUGACAUUAACAGUAUUGAUGUUUGAAAAUGAUGAGUCACCUCCAAGUCCUGAGAGGGGAGGCUGAACUGGAAAGGCUGCUUAUUUCCUGCAGGAGUCCCUUUCACCAAACAGAUAAUUACCUUCAGCUUUUAAAACAGAUAAUUAUUCAAUCAGUAAAAUCAGCUCGAAAUUAAUAUUUUGUGUUAGUUAGUCAAGUCGAGUUGACAGGUGGUUAUUCAAAUUGCAUAGACUCUUAUCACCCUGUUGAGAUUCCAAUUUGUCUAACCAUUCUUGUACUAUACAUUAUCCUCUCUAUGUGCUCACAGAUGUCAUUAUUUUCUGUUUGCUCUCAAACUGUCGAUAAGAGUGACAUAAUUAACACAGAAAAUAAGCUAAAAUGACUAUUAACUUAAAUAUACACAAACGAGUCUUAUAACUGCCCUGAAAGUUAAACUACAUAUCAGUCUGACCUGACAGGUGCUCCCCAGAGUCAGUUAUUUCUGAUUUUGCUUAUCAGCUGAGUGUUCAGGAAGAGGUCCGUUUCCAGGUUCACCGCUGGACAGCACUGCCUGCUGACUGAUACUAUAUCAGUUAUUGGUUUUUACACUAUCUCAGGCUGCUUCUGAGAUUGAACCCUGCAAAGAUACGCAUGCACACACGCGCAGUAACACACAUGCACACUCUCAAACACACAGAAAACAAGAUACAGAAUUUAGGGUUUGCUCGUUUUGAUGACAGGGCAGAUACAUUGAUUCACAGUGGUUCACAUGCAGACGACUUUGCAAUCUGUCCAUUGAUUAAAUGAAGAAAUCUUAGCUUUCCCCCUUUGAUCAGAAUCGCACCUGCAUAUAGAGUACGCAAAAAAGCAGCGCAUUGCUAUAUCUAGUUCUGCACAUAUUUAGGUAGGUGUAGGCUUCAUGCAUGGGGGACACGCACGUCUUCUCCAAAGAGGACACACUCUCAGAGUAUCUCGCAUGAGUGGGCACAGAGGGGAGCGAGAUGAAUCCAGGCUGCUGCUGUAAACCAUCAUGGCAGCCACUUAUUCUGCUCACAGCAAAAUUAUGUUGCUGCUACGGUCGUCAAAUGUUCAAGAUAUCCCCUCCAAGAAUGAGAAUUAGGAGGGAAAAGAUCAUCUCAGCACAUCUUUGAGUCUUUAAAUAUGUAUUUUCAUACAUUUCCAGGUUAAUGGUUCAUAUUUUUUUCUAGGUGGAGAAAGCAUGAGCGAGAUGAAGAGUGGUAAACUGACUGGAUGAAUAGAAAAUGUGUUUGAGCUCGUCCAGCUCACAAGAUGUCCAUUCACACAAAGCUCUCACUCUGUCACACCUUCCUCCUGUCACUCACACAAAGCAUGCUGGGAGGCAUGGUUUCCAGGGCAACCAAGAGGCACCUUUUCCUUGACGACGGUUCAGAAUGCGGCGAUGGGAGGACAUUAGCUUGCACCUCAGGUGUGGCAAAUAUUGGCGCCUAUAGCUCGACCAGGAGCAGAACAAAGCGGCCGUGACCACUUUGACAGAGAAGAGAAACAGAAUUUGAUUUAAAAAAAGCAGCGAGGAAACACAACUGAAUCAAAUGACAGCGGAGUUCACAUGUGCAAGGACCAGCAGAUGAUGUGAGAACUGGCACAACUGAAGAGCAAUUGUUCCUGAAUGAACUUUGUAGUUUCUGGUUUUGCAGCUAGUUAGGAGCCUCUGGAGCCUGCUGUGACAGAGGACCCACUGGGAGAGGAAACAGCACUCUGGGUAUCUCCUCUCUGUGAUAAAUGAACUAAGCUGCUUCACACUUAUAGUGUGAAUUAAAAUUUCACACACACAUACUCCCUCAAAAGACCCUCACACACUGUCCUAAAUAUGCAAUAACACACUCCUGAAAACCCCUCAAGGCUCUAAAAUACAUCUUCAAAGAAACCCUCAAUCUGCUUAACACAUUUUACACACACACACACACUCAAGCAUGGCUAUAACUGCACACACACGUGCACAAAAGAACACAUUCAGACCCAGAGCACACAGAUCAUUGCAAGAAACGGGCAGACUCUGUGAUAUCGUGUUGCUUUCAGUGAAGGCCAAACCCAUGAAAUUCAUAAAGAGGAGACAGAAGCAGAGAUGGGUGUGUCGUGGGCACGCAAAACACACCGGGUACACGGUGAAGACAACACACACACACCUCAAGAAAAACACACAAGCAAAAGGAAAGCAAGAGGGAGAAGAAAAUGGGAGCGUGGUGUCCUUAGGUGUGUGUGUGUGUUUGUGCAAAAAAGGAGACUGAGUGCAUAGAGAAUUGAGUGCAGUUAGUAGUGUUUCCCCCUCGGCUGAGGCAUUAACAAGCCUAUAAUGGACCCUCUUAAAAAGCCGACUAGGAUCUCCUCCAAAACUAACUGAUUUAGAGUGGCCAGGGCCCCCGUGGGCAGUGGCCAAGUUCCCCCUCUGUCCCUCCCCAGCACAGCCACAGCCAGCCCCGGUGGCAGGCGGCACAGACACACAUUGUGUUUGUCUACUGAACCACAAGCAAUAGCAGUUUAUAACACAAUAAAACACCAUGAGGAGGCAUUAAUUGGAUAUAAUAGCCAGGGAAUGAUUUAGAUGAUUUAACACCUUUUUUCCAAGACGAGUGCAUAAAAGAGAGAGAAAGAGGAAGAAAGGGGAAUUAGAAAUGGACUUACACACUGUUUCUGACUUUGAUUACAAAUGUUAGCCUCAUUUGAGUCCACACACACAAAACAUAAAUGCAGGUUUGAAGACACACAGGAUAUAUUGCAUUGCUGUAUCCUGCUUGUAAAGUCAACUACAAUCAUCAUUAGACUUAUAUGUAUGUACGCUUUUGUGACAUAAAGUCGCUGCAGAAGAAAAUCCAGAAAUAAUCCAAGUGUACGCCUCACAUUUCCUGUAUUUUGUUAACCCCCCUCAAACUGGUGACAGUAAUCAGGCCAUCCCAGAUAAAGCUGAUGCUUAUAAGAUAUGACAGGCUAGCUAGUAGAAAAAAACGCACCCACACGACCUCUCUAUCAUUAAUCAAUGUUUCAAAGGCGGUGUUUUAUUGACAAUAUAACCAUCAGGAAAAUAACAGACUCCAGUUUCUUGCAGCAAAUUAUCCUCAAGUCCCGCUUGCAAAACCGUCAAGAUAUUCUGUCACCUUAUCUCUCCUCACCUCCCCGUCUUUUCUCUCCACGCCCGAGCUGAAAGGGAGCAGGGCCUUGCAUGUAUGUACAUAAUUGGCACUUUACUGUCAUAUCAAAUUCAUAUCAGCUCAGGGUCCUGGGCUAGGAGGAACAAUGAGGGCCAGAGACAAAAGCGUGGCUCCCGUGCUCUGAGAGUCGGCCCUGAUAACCGCAGCAUAGGCCGGUCAAUAAAACCAAUCAUCUCUAAUCUUCUUAUGGGGGACUAAACAGUUCCCCCAGAUACUUCCAAAUGCCCACUAGACACAAUGUGCAACCACACUAUACCAAUAUACAGACUGUAGCGACGGGAGGAAAACAAUAUCUGAACCAUAACCUUUGUGCACGGUCUCAUCAACCUUAUGUCCCGAUACAUAAUUAUUCUCUAGACAUACAAAGUAUUUCAAAAUAUGAAAUAGAGGUUUCAAGAUUUAAAGCAACAUCUUUAUAAAGGAUGUCUGUUUAAUAUUGGGUGAGACAUGGGGAUAUUUUGAAGAUGCUGGUUGGAUGUAAAAGAAAUAAAUGAGUUUUAAACUUCUGUGGUGUUUUGCAUUGUGUGAGUGUUAAAGAGACUUUAUGACCAUGAAUUACCCUCCUUGAAAAGCAGAAGUGUCCCCACAUUUUCUGCAGGCUCUCAC
Molecule: long non-coding RNA, 6657 nt
Filed under: Xyrichtys novacula (pearly razorfish)
Lineage: Eukaryota; Metazoa; Chordata; Actinopteri; Labriformes; Labridae
Source: RNAcentral